GAUGAACGCUAGCGGCAGGCCUAAUACAUGCAAGUCAAGGGGUAGCAAUACACCGGCGGACGGGUGCGUAACGCGUACACAACAUUACCUUUAAGCGGGGGAUAGCAUUGGGAAACUGGUGGUAAUACCCCAUAACAUUGCGUUUCGGCAUUGAGAUGCAAUUAAAGUUACGGCGCUUAGAGAUUGAUGUGCGUCUGAUUAGCUAGUUGGCGGGGUAACGGCCCACCAAGGCGACGAUCAGUAGGGGGUGUGAGAGCAUGACCCCCCACAUGGGUACUGAGACACGGACCCAACUCCUACGGGAGGCAGCAGUAAGGAAUAUUGGACAAUGGGCGGAAGCCUGAUCCAGCCAUGCCGCGUGAAGGAUGAAGGCGCUCAGCGUUGUAAACUUCUUUUGGAUGGGGACAAUAACUUUCAUUUAUGGGAGCUUGAGGGUACCAUCAGAAUAAGCACCGGCUAACUCCGUG
RNAcentral lists this ribosomal RNA (467 nucleotides) under uncultured bacterium. RNAcentral's name for it is "bacterial SSU rRNA". It matches the Rfam family "Bacterial small subunit ribosomal RNA", at positions 28 to 507 of the family's 1533-position model. The record is from RNAcentral.